This 2384-nucleotide small RNA is filed under the name Pongo abelii (Sumatran orangutan). Its description in RNAcentral is "retained intron". Lineage: Eukaryota; Metazoa; Chordata; Mammalia; Primates; Hominidae. The record is from RNAcentral.
UGCGCGAAGCUGGGUGCCCCGGAGAGUCUGACCACCAUGCCACCUCCUCGCCUCCUCUUCUUCCUCCUCUUCCUCACCCCCAUGGAAGUCAGGCCCGAGGAACCUCUAGUGGUGAAGGUGGAAGAGGGAGAUAACGCUGUGCUGCAGUGCCUCAAGGGGACCUCAGAUGGCCCCACUCAGCAGCUGACUUGGUUUCGGGAGUCCCCGUUUAAACCCUUCUUAAAACUCAGCCUGGGGCUGCCAGGCCUGGGAAUCCACAUGAGGCCCCUGGCCAUCUGGCUUUUCAUCUUCAACGUCUCUCAACAGAUGGGGGGCUUCUACCUGUGCCAGCAGGGGCCCCCCUCUGAGAAGGCCUGGCAGCCUGGCUGGACAGUCAGUGUGGAGGGCAGCGGUGAGGGCCGGGCUGGGGCAGGGGCAGGAGGAGAGAAGGGAGGCCACCGUGGACAGAAGAGGUCCGCGGCCACAAUAGAGCUGGAGAGGGGCUGGAGGGAUUGAGGGCGAAACUCGGAGCUAGGUGGGCGGACUCCUGGGGCUUCGUGGCUUCAGUAUGAGCUGCUUCCCGUCCCUCUACUUCUCACUGUCUUCUCUCUGUCUGUGGGUCUUUGUGUCUAUUUAUGUCUGUCUUUGAGUCUCUAUCUCUCUCCCUCUCCUGGGUGUCUCUGCAUUUGGUUCUGGGUCUCUUCCCAGGGGAGCUGUUCCGGUGGAAUGUUUCGGACCUAGGUGGCCUGGGCUGUGGCCUGAAGAACAGGUCCUCAGAGGGCCCCAGCUCCCCUUCCGGGAAGCUCAUGAGCCCCAAGCUGUAUGUGUGGGCCAAAGACCGCCCUAAGAUCUGGGAGGGAGAGCCUCCAUGUGGCCCACCAAGGGACAGCCUGAACCAGAGCCUCAGCCAGGACCUCACCAUGGCCCCUGGCUCCACACUCUGGCUGUCCUGUGGGGUACCCCCUGACUCUGUGUCCAGGGGCCCCCUCUCCUGGACCCAUGUGCACCCCGAGGGGCGUAAGUCCUCAUUGCUGAGCCUAGAGCUGAAGGACGAUCGCCCGGCCAGAGAUAUGUGGGUAAUGGAGACGGGUCUGUUGUUGCCCCGGGCCACAGCUCAAGACGCUGGAAAGUAUUAUUGUCACCGUGGCAACCUGACCAUGUCAUUCUACCUGGAGAUCACUGCUCGGCCAGUACUAUGGCACUGGCUGCUGAGGACUGGUGGCUGGAAGGUCUCAGCUGUGACUUUGGCUUAUCUGAUCUUCUGCCUGUGUUCCCUUGUGGGCAUUCUUCAUCUUCAAAGAGCCCUGGUCCUGAGGAGGAAAAGAAAGCGAAUGACUGACCCCACCAGGAGAUUCUUCAAAGUGACGCCUCCCCCAGGAAGCGGGCCCCAGAACCAGUACGGGAACGUGCUGUCUCUCCCCACACCCACCUCAGGCCUCGGACGCGCCCAGCGUUGGGCCGCAGGCCUGGGGGGCACUGCCCCGUCUUAUGGAAACCCGAGCAGCGACGUCCAGGCGGAUGGAGCCGUGGGGUCCCGGAGCCCGCCGGGAGUGGGCCCAGAAGAAGAGGAAGGGGAGGGCUAUGAGGAACCUGACAGUGAGGAGGGCUCCGAGUUCUAUGAGAACGACUCCAACCUUGGGCAGGACCAGCUCUCCCAGGGUAAGGCUGCCCUCCCCCGUGGCCCCCCACCUCUGCGGUGGCCUGUGGACUCCCAUGGACACCCCUCCUUCUCCACCAGAUGGCAGUGGCUAUGAGAACCCUGAGGAUGAGCCCCUGGGUCCUGAGGAUGAAGACUCCUUCUCCAACGGUAACUUGGGGCCUUUGUGGGACCUCAGAGACUUAGGUGUAAUUGCAGCGCUGUGACACCCCUAGAAGGGGUCCCUGGAGUUCUCUCUCUUCUGCCACAGCUGAGUCUUACGAGAACGAGGAUGAAGAGCUGACCCAGCCGGUCGCCAGGACAAUGGACUUCCUGAGCCCUCAUGGGUCAGCCUGGGACCCCAGCCGGGAAGCAACCUCCCUGGGGUCCCAGUCCUACGAGGAUAUGAGAGGAAUCCUGUAUGCAGCCCCCCAGCUCCGCUCCAUUCGGGGCCAGCCUGGACCCAAUCAUGAGGAAGAUGCAGACUCUUAUGAGAACAUGGAUAAUCCCGACGGGCCAGACCCAGCCUGGGGAGGAGGGGGCCGCAUGGGCACCUGGAGCACCAGGUGAUCCUCAGGUGGCCAGCCUGGAUCUCCUCAAGUCCCCAAGAUCCACACCUGACUCUGAAAUCUGAAGACCUCGAGCAGAUGAUGCCAACCUCUGGACCAAUGUUGCUUAGGAUGUGUGCAUGUGUGUAUAUGUGUGUGUGUGUGUAUAUACAUGCCAGUGACACUUCCAGUCCUUAAAUAAACUCAAUGAGCUCUUCCAA